UACGUAGGGUGCAAGCGUUAAUCGGAAUUACUGGGCGUAAAGUGUGCGCAGGCGGCCGAGCAAGUCGGUUGUGAAAGCCCCGAGCUUAACUUGGGAACUGCGCUCGAAACUACUUGGCUAGAGUGUGGCAGAGGGAGGUGGAAUUCCACGUGUAGCGGUGAAAUGCGUAGAGAUGUGGAGGAACACCGAUGGCGAAGGCAGCCUCCUGGGCCAACACUGACGCUCAUGCACGAAAGCGUGGGGAGCAAACAGG
Molecule: ribosomal RNA, 253 nt
Filed under: uncultured bacterium
Lineage: Bacteria
Description: partial 16S ribosomal RNA
Rfam family: Bacterial small subunit ribosomal RNA
Source: RNAcentral